This is a long non-coding RNA of Bubalus bubalis (water buffalo), 399 nucleotides long. RefSeq lists it as uncharacterized. NCBI's taxonomy places the organism in Eukaryota, Metazoa, Chordata, Mammalia, Artiodactyla, Bovidae. The transcript is spliced from 3 exons. The record is from RefSeq and is a predicted model, not a curated record.
GGAGGAGGCCUUGUGUUCCCAGGCCCCCCGGCCGAGGCGUGUCGUCCCGCCGUGCUCCAGCUCCCAGGCUGGGCUCGAGUCGGGUCUGACCCCGCAGGCUCGGACGGCCAGGGACGCAGCGGCCGCGGGCAGCGCACACAGGCGCUACCAGAAGGGAUGCGGCUUAGAGAGGCUCGAAGAAAACGCGCGAGAAAUAAACAAGGGGAGAGAGAAAGAGAAAGGGGACGGAGAAAGGGGCGCAGAGUGGUUUUUCGCGAUAAAUAAAACACAUGCCCACGCAGAGGCUUUCUUCACACUUGUCCGGCGGCUGCGGUAAUUAAAGCUCCGAGCGUCAUUUCCAACGCUCCGCGGUCUCCAGCUGCAGCCCCACCGAGAAAUUAAUAAGACUCCGUCCGGGAG